RNAcentral lists this unclassified non-coding RNA (188 nucleotides) under plant metagenome. Its description in RNAcentral is "partial contains 5.8S ribosomal RNA and internal transcribed spacer 2". The stretch from base 1 to 105 matches the Rfam family "5.8S ribosomal RNA", at positions 50 to 154 of the family's 154-position model. Rfam says of the family: 5.8S ribosomal RNA (5.8S rRNA) is a component of the large subunit of the eukaryotic ribosome. It is transcribed by RNA polymerase I as part of the 45S precursor that also contains 18S and 28S rRNA. Functionally, it is thought that 5.8S rRNA may be involved in ribosome translocation. The record is from RNAcentral.
GAAAUGCGAUAAGUAAUGUGAAUUGCAGAAUUCCGUGAAUCAUCGAAUCUUUGAACGCACAUUGCGCCCUCUGGCAUUCCGGGGGGCAUGCCUGUCCGAGCGUCAUUACGCACCCUCAAGCCCGGCUUGUGUGAUGGGCCCUGGCGUCUCGUUCGCGAGACGGGCCCGAAAGGCAGCGGCAGCGUCAG